UACGUAGGGGGCAAGCGUUGUCCGGAUUUAUUGGGCGUAAAGAGCGUGUAGGCGGCCAGGUAGGUCUGCUGUGAAAACUCGAGGCUUAACCUCGAGCUGUCGGCGGAAACCAUCUGGCUAGAGUCCGGAAGAGGAGAAUGGAAUUCCCGGUGUAGCGGUGAAAUGCGCAGAUAUCAGGAAGAACACCCGUGGCUAAGGCGGUUCUCUAGUACGGUACUGACGCUGAGACGCGAAAGCGUGGGGAGCGAACAGG
This 253-nucleotide ribosomal RNA is filed under the name uncultured bacterium. RNAcentral's name for it is "partial 16S ribosomal RNA". It matches the Rfam family "Bacterial small subunit ribosomal RNA", at positions 524 to 776 of the family's 1533-position model. The record is from RNAcentral.